GAUGAACGCUGGCGGCGUGCCUAAUACAUGCAAGUCGAGCGAACAGACGAGGAGCUUGCUCCUCUGACGUUAGCGGCGGACGGGUGAGUAACACGUGGAUAACCUACCUAUAAGACUGGGAUAACUUCGGGAAACCGGAGCUAAUACCGGAUAACAUGUUGAACCGCAUGGUUCAACAGUGAAAGACGGUCUUGCUGUCACUUAUAGAUGGAUCCGCGCCGCAUUAGCUAGUUGGUAAGGUAAUGGCUUACCAAGGCAACGAUGCGUAGCCGACCUGAGAGGCUGGUCGGCCACACUGGAAGGGAGACACGGUCCAGACUCCUACGGGAGGGAGCAGUAGGGAAUCUUACGCAAUGGGCGAAAGCCUGACGGAGCAACGCGGCGUGAGUGAAGAAGGUCUUCGGAGCGUAAAACUCUGUUAUGAGGGAAGAACAAAUGUGUAAGUUACUAUGCACGUAUUGACGGUACCUAAUCAGAAAGCCACGGCUAACUACGUG
Molecule: ribosomal RNA, 497 nt
Filed under: uncultured bacterium
Lineage: Bacteria
Description: partial 16S ribosomal RNA
Rfam family: Bacterial small subunit ribosomal RNA
Source: RNAcentral